CCUACGGGUGGCAGCAGUAGGGAAUCUUCCACAAUGGGCGAAAGCCUGAUGGAGCAACGCCGCGUGGGUGAAGAAGGUCUUCGGAUCGUAAAACCCUGUUGUUAGAGAAGAAAGUGCGUGAGAGUAACUGUUCACGUCUCGACGGUAUCUAACCAGAAAGCCACGGCAAACUACGUGACAGCAGCUGCGGGAAUACGUAGGAGGCAAGAGUUAUCCGGAUUUAUGGGGCGGAAAGGGAGCGCAGUCGGUCUUUUAAGUCUUAUGUGAAAGCCUUCGGCUUAACCGGAGUAGUGCAUUGGAAACUGGGAGUCUUGAGUGCAGGAGAGGUAGGUGGAACUCCAGGUGUAGCGGUGAAAUGCGUAGAUAUAUGGAAGAACAC
This 379-nucleotide ribosomal RNA is filed under the name uncultured bacterium. RNAcentral's name for it is "partial 16S ribosomal RNA". It matches the Rfam family "Bacterial small subunit ribosomal RNA", at positions 338 to 709 of the family's 1533-position model. The record is from RNAcentral.